This 384-nucleotide unclassified non-coding RNA is filed under the name Hevea brasiliensis (rubber tree). Lineage: Eukaryota; Viridiplantae; Streptophyta; Magnoliopsida; Malpighiales; Euphorbiaceae. The record is from RNAcentral.
GGCAGGGAAGGCUCCUCCUUGGUCAGUUAGGACCUGGAUUUUCUUUCUCCUUUUGCUACUGCAGCCUUGCUUUGACCAUAGGUGCGUGGAGUUUAGCCUCUGUGCUUUUAGGACUUUCUUUUGCUCUUCAAGUUGGAGCUUGGUAUCUUUGGAGACGUUACCGAUACCUUUGGUUUGCGUCCAAUCCCUCAGUGGCUAAAAUCAUCUUGAGCAGUGCUUCGCUUCCUCGUUGAGCUCAUGAGAUUUUUACUGAUGUUAGCUGUGUUAAAGCAUGUAACGAUGUCCGCUGUGCAGUGGAUCUUGCUCGACUAAACUGGGCUUUUGACUCUUCUUGUCUCCGGUGGUAUGGCCUCCUUGCUUAUUCUCUUGAUUUGGCGAAAUCAU